GUACACUCCUGCGGGAGGCAGCAGUGGGGAAUAUUGCACAAUGGGCGCAAGCCUGAUGCAGCCAUGCCGCGUGUAUGAAGAAGGCCUUCGGGUUGUAAAGUACUUUCAGCGGGGAGGAAGGCGAUAAGGUUAAAAACCUUGUCGAUUGACGUUACCCGCAGAAGAAGCACCGGCUAACUCCGUGCCAGCAGCCGCGGUAAUACGGAGGGUGCAAGCGUUAAUCGGAAUUACUGGGCGUAAAGCGCACGCAGGCGGUCUGUCAAGUCGGAUGUGAAAUCCCCGGGCUCAACCUGGGAACUGCAUUCGAAACUGGCAGGCUAGAGUCUUGUAGAGGGGGGUAGAAUUCCAGGUGUAGCGGUGAAAUGCGUAGAGAUCUGGAGGAAUACCGGUGGCGAAGGCGGCCCCCUGGACAAAGACUGACGCUCAGGUGCGAAAGCGUGGGGAGCAAACAGGAUUAGGUACCCCAGUAGUCCCAUGA
RNAcentral lists this ribosomal RNA (478 nucleotides) under uncultured organism. Its description in RNAcentral is "partial 16S ribosomal RNA". It matches the Rfam family "Bacterial small subunit ribosomal RNA", at positions 331 to 800 of the family's 1533-position model. The record is from RNAcentral.